RNAcentral lists this ribosomal RNA (492 nucleotides) under uncultured bacterium. Its description in RNAcentral is "partial 16S ribosomal RNA". It matches the Rfam family "Bacterial small subunit ribosomal RNA", at positions 29 to 507 of the family's 1533-position model. The record is from RNAcentral.
AGUGAACGCUGGCGGUAGGCCUAACACAUGCAAGUCGAACGGCAGCACAGUAAGAGCUUGCUCUUACGGGUGGCGAGUGGCGGACGGGUGAGGAAUACAUCGGAAUCUACUUUUUCGUGGGGGAUCACGUAGGGAAACUUACGCUAAUAUCGCAUACGACCUACGGGUGAAAGCAGGGGAUCUUCGGACCUUGCGCGAUUGAAUGAGGCGAUGUCGGUUUAGCUAGUUGGCGGGGUAAAGGCCCACCAAGGCGACGAUCCGUAGCUGGUCUGAGAGGAUGGUCAGCCACACUGGAACUGAGACACGGUCCAGACUCCUACGGGAGGCAGCAGUGGGGAAUAUUGGACAAUGGGCGCAAGCCUGAUCCAGCCAUACCGCGUGGGUGAAGAAGGCCUUCGGGUUGUAAAGCCCUUUUGUUGGGAAAGAAAAGCAGCAGGUUAAUACCCCGCUGUUCUGACGGUACCCAAAGAAUAAGCACCGGCUAACUUCGUG